Molecule: RNA transcript, 5481 nt
Organism: Trifolium pratense (red clover)
Lineage: Eukaryota; Viridiplantae; Streptophyta; Magnoliopsida; Fabales; Fabaceae
Gene name: serine/threonine-protein kinase STY46-like
Exons: 10
Source: RefSeq, a predicted model, not a curated record
CCUCAAAUUUCAACACUCCCUUAUUUUGUUUUCUCUUGACAGGGACCACCCUUUUCUAUUAUCGCCGUCUGUGGCUUGCUGAUAAGAAAAACUACCUUCAUCUUCAUCACUCAGAAGGCUACAAUCUCAUGGAAAAAAAUAAAGCCACACCUCCAUUUCGAGAAGAAAUUGUGACUUCCUAUUUCUCCAUGUUGCUGUUUUUUUUCCUUUCCUUUAAUUUUUCCUUUUUUUUCUUCUUUCUUAUCCUUAAUUACGAGAGGAGCAUGUGGGAUUUACUAUGAAAUUUCAGACUUGCCGUGUUCACUUCAAUCAACUUUACCUUCACUUCUUAUUGAGCAGAAACAACACAUGCAACAUCUAUCCUUUACAUAGCUACCACACAUCUAAUUAUGAACGUGCAUAUGAAUUAAUCCUUUAAAUCUCAUUGGUGGUGUAUCAGUAUAACAACAUCUAUCCCUUUUCCUUUUGGUAUGCGUUAGAUGUGAAUGUGGAAAGAGCGGAAGAUGUUCAUAUGCAUAAGAGAUUACUACAUUUAGCACAUGAUCCUGCUAAUAGGCCUCAAAUUGAAAUUCGCUUAGUUCAGGUGACUUGACCCUUGCAGUGUUCUGUUCUUCAUGCUAUUAAUUCAAAUCUUUGUAGUUUUCAUUUCUUAGUGCUUUUGUGUGGCUCAGCCUAUGAAGCACGGGUACAUACACGAACAUUGACACAUCAACACCAAUAAUAAUUUGAGAAAAUGAUAUAACUCAUUGUAAUCAUAUGUGUCGGACACCGGGACCAAGACACGCCUAAUCCCGUGGAGUAUCCGUGCUUCAUGGAUGCGGCAUUGUUGUUUUGCUGUGUUUUAUUGACAAGUGGUUCAUUUCAUUCUUGGUGUAGGGUUUACCAUUUUAAAUGUAUAUCUUCCAAUUUGGGAUUGCCUGUUAUACCUGUAUGCUUUAACAAACUGAAAAAGAUCAAGCACAAUUUAUAUUUACACUGUACAUGCUGGAGCACUCUAAUCAGCAUGCCUUGAAUUUUUUAUUACCUCCUUGACUGAAGAAAUAUAGCACAUUUUGAAUUUCAACUUGUUUUCUUAUAUCAUUGUUGCGAUGAUUCAUUUGAGCCACUUUUAGUAUACUAGCUUUGUAGUUGAGGAAAAUCUCUUACAGGUUUCUUUUGUUGAUGUGUCAUCAGUAUGUCUGUGAAUAUUUUCUUUCACAAGAUCAAACUGCAUUUGUCUGGUUGAAUCGUCUCUUUUUAAGUAAUCAGAUAUUUUUCUUACUUUCUGAAUUGUAAAGAUUAUGGCUUUCCACAAGAUGGGACCGACAUUUGUCGAUAUGCCACGGUCUGUUUACUAAGAUCAUCAUAGAUUAUUAAUGCGUGCAUUCCAAAAAAACGAUUCUAUAUGCAGACGUGAAAGCUCUAUCGAUAGAAGCAUUCAUUCUAGCCCUGGUGUGAGUGCCAAUUGAAUGGUGUUAUAAAUCAUGGAAUCGAAGGGAUAAAGAUCAUAGAUGUCGGCAAGAUAGAGUGCAUAAGAGUAUUCAUGAGGAAGAUACUCAUAGAAAUUCAUGUUGAAUGAAUAUAGAUUGAUAAAAGAAUGAGUAAAAUGUACAAUGAAGUAGCUUAUUUAUAGAACAAUUUGGAGUAACUAACUCCCUAACUAACUUUCUAACCUCCUAACUAACUUGGUAACCUAUCGACUAACUCUAGUUGAUUAACUAACUAUCUAUAUUCUUAACAGCCUCCCUCAAACUCAACAUUGGGAAAAUUACCAAUUUGAGUUUGAAUUACAAAGCUAAAUCCAAACAAAGAAACAAAGCAUUGAAUUUUUGGCUUGUAAUACAUUCCUCGAAACCAUAGACUCCAAGCAAGCAACAUAAAAUCUGCACAACUAGCCUCAUAACACCUUCCAUAGUCUGCAACAAGUGACCUUCCAAUUGGACUGAAACCUUUAAACAAACACCAGAACCAACUCUUGCAAAAAAAGAACAAUGGCGAAAACUCAAACAACUUGUUAAAACCAAGGUAAUCACACAACCAUUUCUAGAAUGAAGAUCCAAAAUUUGAAAAUCACAGUCAAUUAUCAUGCCAGUAAUUACUUCCAUGGGAGACUCCACUUCAAUACCUUUUGUGCAAAAUAACCUUGUCUAUACCAAAUUGCAUUGUAUUCAACGAAUUUUAAUAGAGGACCUUUACCAAGUAUCUUAUGAGCAUUACAAUUUCCAAACUCCAUGAAUAAACCAAAUGUAACAAUUCUUAUUUAAUUGAUUUUCACAUAAGCAAGAACACAAGCAAUGUCAGCAAAUAACCAAGUAACAAAAUCUGAUCCUUCUCUAAUGUGAAAACCAACUAAUCCAAAACUGAACAAAUGUGCAGAAUUGACUUCUAUAUUGUAAUAGCCUCCCUCAAACUCAUAGUAACAGAAUUUUUAGUAUGAGUUUGGAAAACAAAGGACCAAACAGAAGGCAAGAACAGCGGUUAUUUCAACAUCCACAAUUAUGCAGAACUGACUUCUAAUAUAUCACUGACAUAGGAAAGUUCCACCGGGAUCGAAAGGGAAGAGUGAGAUUGAAUCGAAAAUUGACAUAAUAGAGAGCAUAGUAGCAGAACUGGAAAUCACUGACAUAAUUCCACCGGGAUCAAAAUCGACGAUGCACUCAUCAUGUAGUUCGAAAAGCCAAACCUGGUUGUUGAUUGUUGUGCUACUGAUUUGUUGUUUCUGUUUUCCGACGUAGAACCAAGAAGCGAAAGGCCUUAUGGCGGCAACGCCGUAAACAGAUCCAUAGCAUAGCGGAACUCUACCUUUGAUAAGAUUCUCCGACCUCUUGAUUUCUGCAGAAACACCAAACUCAGAUUUGCAUUCGUUCAAUCCUUUGAUUGCUUCAGAAACCACAAUUUCAGAAUCAAGAUUCUUCGAUUUCUCGUCGUCUUCCGAAGCUGCAAACGCAGAUUUAUUGUUGCAACUUGAAGCAACAAGAACACAUGCAAUUUCCCCGAUCUUGAUGGUGAAUCCAUCAAUUGUUGGCUUGAUUGGAGUGAUUGAAGCGAAUUGAACGGCGGAAAAAUCUGAAUUCCUAAAACUGCCAAAACAAAUGUGAUUGCAGAUUGUUGAAGAUUGAGCUUCUGGUGCAGAAACCUCCAUAGCUACAUCAUGAGAAAGAGCUUCAUCUUCAUCAAUGGCUGAAUCGAAAUCGGCAGCGGAAUCUUCAUCUUCAUCCCUUGGGUAUCGCUCUGAUACCAUGUUAUAAAUCAUGGAAUCGAAUGGAUAAAGAUCAUAGAUGUCGGCAAGAUAGAGUGCAUAAGAGUAUUCAUGAGGAAGAUACUCAUAGAAAUUCAUGUUGAAUGAAUAUAGAUUGAUAAAAGAAUGAGUAAAAUGUACAAUGAAGUAGCUUAUUUAUAGAACAAUUUGGAGUAACUAACUCCCUAACUAACUUUCUAACCUCCUAACUAACUUGGUAACCUAUCGACUAACUCUAGUUGAUUAACUAACUAUCUAUAUUCUUAACAAAUGGCAAUGGCAUGGAUGAGUGAACUCGAUGCGACACCGGUCUGGCCCGCACCUACAUGGACUUCAAAUUUACCUCAUUGCGAGCCAAAAACCUAUAUUCCCGCUCAUGCUUACUAUAACAAUUCCCUUGCUUGCUAGAUUUGUCUAAAAGAAGAAAAGAUGCACUUCUUGAUAGAUUGGAUAGCCUGAAAGAUGGUAGAGGAUAAGACUUCUAACUCUUUAACCUCGCCCAAUAUGCUGCUUCUGUACCAACGCCUGCUUCCUCCUCUAAGCAAGCAUUUUCUCUGUUCCAUGUGGACAAUAUCAUUUUGGCAUUGGAAUUUUGGUGCAGCUUCAUUCCUCAUCUGAUGAAAACACAGCUGAAUCUUUCCAACCAUAUGCACCUGGGGAAGAUUCUGUUCAGAGUUCUUCAAAGUACUCAAGCGGAUAGGGGUAUCAUUUUCUCACUUAUCAUCACUUCAUAAAAAGUAAACUUUUUGGGUGCUCUUAUCAUAAAGCUCAAGUAAUAGCUGUGUAAUACUUCCACCUCCUGCUUUUGGUUCUUCUCCUAAUCUUGAAGCACUGGCUCUUGAAGAAAAUGAUUCUGUUGACUUAGAAGAGGAGCGAUCUGUGCAUGCCAGUGUACAAUAUACACGGUGAAAUUUCUGAUGCAAGCUUUUUUUAGGCCUAGACCUGGAAAAUAUAUCUGAAAAAUGACCUAGAAUCUAGAUUAUACAUCCUUUUCUUUUCACGUGGGGGUGGAUCUGAAUAUUUAACUCAGAUCUUCUAUAACCCUACUACCCUAGUACUUUUCAAUUAUAUUAAUAAAUAUCUCUUUGGCAUUCUAGAGGUUGAGAUACUGAUAAUUAUUAUACCCAAGAUAUGUCUAUCUAUAAGCUUGUAUGAUGGGUAGAAAUAUUAUACCUCAGAUGAUUUAUGAAAUUUUUGUUCUGGUGUUUCGGAUGCUUUGUAAAAAAAAUAUCAAACAUCUGUCACUGAAAAUGAUGUAGGCCCAUCCAUGCAUGAAAUCACCUUCUCAACAGAUGACAAACCAAAGCUUCUCAGCCGUUAACUGCUUUGCUUGCUGAGGUUGGACUAAACAUCCAAGAGGCACAUGCUUUUUCCACAACUGACGGUUACUCGUUAGACGUGUUUGUUGUUGAAGGAUGGCCCUAUGAGGAAACAGAGAAGCUCAAAGAAACUUUGGAAAAAGAAGUCUUGAAGAUUGAGAGUCCAGCUAGGUACUGGCAUGCCUUUUCCAUGAAUCCCAGAUACAGAAGAUGUUUGGGAAAUAGAUCCUAAACAUACAUUUGAAAUACGGAACUCAAGUUGCAUCUGCGUCAUACGGUGAACUAUUUAAAGGUACAUAUUGUAGCCAGGAAGUAGCCAUCAAAGUUCUCAAGGCUGAGCUUGUAAGUUCAGAAAUGCAGAAAGAGUUUGCUCAGGAAGUCUUCAUCAUGAGAAAGGUUUGACGCAAGAAUGUCGAGCAAUUCAUGGGAGCAUGUACCAAGCCCCCACUCUUAUGCAUAGUUUACAGAGUUUAUGUCUGGUGGAAGUGUGUAAGACUACCUACAUAAGCAGAAAGGGUUUUUCAAAUUUCAUACCCUGCUCAAAGUGGCAAUUAAUGUUUCUAAAGGACGGAACCACUUGCACCAACAUAAUUCAUAGAGACUUGAAGACUGCCAUGCCAAUCUUUUGAUGGAUGAAAACAGUGUUGUAAAGGUCGCUGAUUUUGGGGUUGCUAGAGUGAAAACUCAAUCCGGAGUUAUGACAACAGAAACUGGGACAUAUCAUUGGAUCUUGCUGGCCUUUUCAAGCCCUGUUGUCUUUUGAGAAUUGGUUGUUUUAUUUUUAAUAAAAGUUAAGUGAUUAUGUUUAUUAAGUUGAUGAUUUUUAUAGAGUUUUGUCCUUCUAGAAAAAUACAAUAAAUGAAAAUGUUGACAUUACUCAUGAGCCACUUAGGUUCCAGACAUGUUCUCAUAUCGACUUUAGCAAUAAUCUUAUCCUAAUGCACA